CAUGGUGGUGUGUGCCUGUAGUCCCAGCUACUAAGGAGGCUGAGGCAGGAGGAUUAAUUGAACCCAGGAGUUACAGUCCAAUGUGGGCAACAUAGCAAGACCCUGUCUUAGGAGGGGGUGUGUGUGUGUGCAUGUGUGCGUGCGCGCGUGUGUAAUAGCAAUAUCAAUUUUGUGCAAUAAAAUUUUGAAUAACCAAUUUUAUGCAAAUUGAUAUCAAUAGAGAGGAGUAAUGCUGUAUUGAAAUUACCUGUUGCCUUCCCUGCUUUUUUAGGGUGAAAAGGUAAUAAAAAGCAUGUGUAAAGUGAUAUGAAUUGCAGAUAGUGAUAAUGUAACAUUUUGGUGACAUAAGUAAUACUUGCUUCUUUAAUAGAUUAGAUUACUAAAAGGAAGUCCCUUCAAAUUACCCUUGAUUUUUCACGUGUGUACCCUUUGUCCAUUCCAGACCUGUUAACUGUCCUUAACUUUUGGCUUAGAAAUGGUGAUUUCUUUGCUAACAUGGUAGUAGAUGCUGUACUUGCUAUUAAAUACACAGACAUAAGAGGCCAGCCACGUUAUCCCGUCAAUUCUGUUAAUAUUUUGAAAGCCCAUGGGAGAAGUCAAAUGGAGAGUAUGCUCAUCAGUGGCUAUGCACUUAACUGUGUGGUGGGAUCCCAGGGCAUGCCCAAGAGAAUCGUAAAUGCAAAAAUUGCUUGCCUUGACUUUAGCCUGCAAAAAACAAAAAUGAAGCUUGGUGUACAGGUGGUCAUUACAGACCCUGAAAAACUGGACCAAAUUAGACAGAGAGAAUCAGAUAUCACCAAGGAGAGAAUUCAGAAGAUCCUGACAACUGGUGCCAAUGUUAUUCUAACCACUGGUGGAAUUGAUGAUA
This 868-nucleotide small RNA is filed under the name Pongo abelii (Sumatran orangutan). RNAcentral describes it as "retained intron". The record is from RNAcentral. Lineage: Eukaryota; Metazoa; Chordata; Mammalia; Primates; Hominidae.